This 624-nucleotide ribosomal RNA is filed under the name Vibrio parahaemolyticus. RNAcentral describes it as "partial 23S ribosomal RNA". It matches the Rfam family "Bacterial large subunit ribosomal RNA", at positions 2203 to 2825 of the family's 2925-position model. Lineage: Bacteria; Pseudomonadati; Pseudomonadota; Gammaproteobacteria; Vibrionales; Vibrionaceae. The record is from RNAcentral.
CCCUUGUAGUGUUGAUGUUCUAACGUCGACCCCUUAUCGGGGUUGCGGACAGUGCCUGGUGGGUAGUUUGACUGGGGCGGUCUCCUCCCAAAGAGUAACGGAGGAGCACGAAGGUGGGCUAAUCACGGUUGGACAUCGUGAGGUUAGUGCAAUGGCAUAAGCCCGCUUGACUGCGAGAAUGACAAUUCGAGCAGGUGCGAAAGCAGGUCAUAGUGAUCCGGUGGUUCUGAAUGGAAGGGCCAUCGCUCAACGGAUAAAAGGUACUCCGGGGAUAACAGGCUGAUACCGCCCAAGAGUUCAUAUCGACGGCGGUGUUUGGCACCUCGAUGUCGGCUCAUCACAUCCUGGGGCUGAAGUCGGUCCCAAGGGUAUGGCUGUUCGCCAUUUAAAGUGGUACGCGAGCUGGGUUUAGAACGUCGUGAGACAGUUCGGUCCCUAUCUGCCGUGGGCGUUGGAAGAUUGAAGGGGGCUGCUCCUAGUACGAGAGGACCGGAGUGGACGAACCUCUGGUGUUCGGGUUGUGUCGCCAGACGCAUUGCCCGGUAGCUAAGUUCGGAAUCGAUAACCGCUGAAAGCAUCUAAGCGGGAAGCGAGCCCUGAGAUGAGUCUUCCCUGAUACUUUAA